Molecule: ribosomal RNA, 469 nt
Filed under: uncultured bacterium
Lineage: Bacteria
Description: partial 16S ribosomal RNA
Rfam family: Bacterial small subunit ribosomal RNA
Source: RNAcentral
GGACGAACGCUGGCGGCGCGCCUAACACAUGCAAGUCGAACGGAGCUGAGAGAAGCUUGCUUUUCUUAGCUUAGUGGCGACCGGGUGAGUAACGCGUGAGUAACCUGCCCUGGAGUGGGGGACAACAGUUGGAAACGACUGCUAAUACCGCAUAAGCCCACGACCCGGCAUCGGAUUGAGGGAAAAGGAUUUAUUCGCUUCAGGAUGGACUCGCGUCCAAUUAGCUAGUUGGUGAGGUAACGGCCCACCAAGGCGACGAUUGGUAGCCGGACUGAGAGGUUGAGCGGCCACAUUGGGACUGAGCCACGGCCCAGACUCCUACGGGAGGCAGCAGUGGGGGAUAUUGCACAAUGGGGGAAGCCCUGAUGCAGCGACGCCGCGUGGAGGAAGAAGGUUUUCGGAUUGUAAACUCCUGUCGUUAGGGACGAUAAUGACGGUACCUAACAAGAAAGCACCGGCUAACUACGUG